GGUUGGAUAGCUCAGUUGGUUAGAGUAUCUGGAAUAUAACCAGAAGGUCCUGGGUUCAAUCCCCAGUUUGGUCA
This 74-nucleotide transfer RNA is filed under the name Lentinula edodes (shiitake mushroom). Its description in RNAcentral is "tRNA-Ile". It matches the Rfam family "tRNA". From Rfam's summary of the family: Transfer RNA (tRNA) molecules are approximately 80 nucleotides in length. Their secondary structure includes four short double-helical elements and three loops (D, anti-codon, and T loops). Lineage: Eukaryota; Fungi; Basidiomycota; Agaricomycetes; Agaricales; Omphalotaceae. The record is from RNAcentral.